AGACUCAGUGAAAUUGAACUCGCUGUGAAGAUGCAGUGUACCCGCGGCAAGACGGAAAGACCCCGUGAACCUUUACUAUAGCUUGACACUGAACAUUGAGCCUUGAUGUGUAGGAUAGGUGGGAGGCUUUGAAGCGUGGACGCCAGUCUGCGUGGAGCCGACCUUGAAAUACCACCCUUUAAUGUUUGAUGUUCUAACGUGGAUCCGUAAUCCGGGUUGCGGACAGUGUCUGGUGGGUAGUUUGACUGGGGCGGUCUCCUCCUAAAGAGUAACGGAGGAGCACGAAGGUUGGCUAAUCCUGGUCGGACAUCAGGAGGUUAGUGCAAUGGCAUAAGCCAGCUUGACUGCGAGCGUGACGGCGCGAGCAGGUGCGAAAGCAGGUCAUAGUGAUCCGGUGGUUCUGAAUGGAAGGGCCAUCGCUCAACGGAUAAAAGGUACUCCGGGGAUAACAGGCUGAUACCGCCCAAGAGUUCAUAUCGACGGCGGUGUUUGGCACCUCGAUGUCGGCUCAUCACAUCCUGGGGCUGAAGUAGGUCCCAAGGGUAUGGCUGUUCGCCAUUUAAAGUGGUACGCGAGCUGGGUUUAGAACGUCGUGAGACAGUUCGGUCCCUAUCUGCCGUGGGCGCUGGAGAACUGAGGGGGGCUGCUCCUAGUACGAGAGGACCGGAGUGGACGCAUCACUGGUGUUCGGGUUGUCAUGCCAAUGGCACUGCCCGGUAGCUAAAUGCGGAAGAGAUAAGUGCUGAAAGCAUCUAAGCACGAAACUUGCCCCGA
This 774-nucleotide ribosomal RNA is filed under the name Salmonella enterica subsp. enterica serovar Infantis. RNAcentral's name for it is "partial 23S ribosomal RNA". It matches the Rfam family "Bacterial large subunit ribosomal RNA", at positions 2029 to 2802 of the family's 2925-position model. The record is from RNAcentral. RNAcentral also lists the same sequence under 1 other name. Lineage: Bacteria; Pseudomonadati; Pseudomonadota; Gammaproteobacteria; Enterobacterales; Enterobacteriaceae.